UACUUCCUGGAUCCUUGGUUCAUUAUCGUGUAAUAUUCCAUAAACGGACAUUUCCAACCCCAAUACAAUGUUCUACUGUUCUCAAUUUGAAAUGUGUUCCUUUUUUGGUUGUGUUUUGUCAACUUACGAGUUAGCUUCCAGGCUUUUUGUGCUAAGGUCACGUGACUUGUUUUCUUCCCGGUUCUUUUUGUAGUUUGACUUCGGAUUUACCGCAAACUGGUGACGUAAACAUGGAAAAAAGGAAAAAGCUCCGAUUUACAGCGGUUGUUCCUCACCUCUUCCCGCCUCUUGUCGUGGCGUAAGUCAGACAUUUUAUUUUUCUGGAGGUGAACUUCUUGCCCCUCGACGGAACGCCCACAAGCUCCCCCCGGCGCGCGUCGUCGUCGGCCGCAGAUUGCGGCAGGAAGACGCGCCGCGGGGAGGGACGCGGCGGCGCGGGGGGGCCGCCAUUGUACCACGCUGGCCCCGGGGGCCCCCCGCGGAGCUCAGAUCCCGAGUUGCGAUGGUCGACCAUUAGCUUCUUUUCACUUUGAAACAAUAGUCUCAGCCCUUUGAUACCCCUCCCCACGCACACCCACGCCGAAACAAACACCAGGUUUCACUCUACAGGUCGGAGAAGAUAGGUGACGUGGUCCAAAACCAAGUCCACAGUCUGAAACCAGGACUCAGUGGAGGUCCGUGGACUUGGGAGAUGGCUUUGUCAUGCAAACGAGGGCCCACGACACAGGAGACUAAAGGACCGGGGCUUCAAGAGACCACCGAGGACUCUCGGGGUGCUCCAGAGGUGGGCGGAGGAGGACGUGUCUCAGAUCCUCAACUUGGAGAUCAAGCGCAAAACAAAUCACGCACGUCGAGACCGGCGCACACGCGAUACGAAGGGUCCUCUCCGAAAGAUCUGGUUUCCAAUCUCAACGAUAUGAUGAUUUUUUUUCCUAGAAUAAUUUUAUGGCAUAAAGAUGUUCAUUUGCAAUUUUAUUAAAGAAAGAAAAUGUUGAAGGUUCUGCGAUGAGGUGGCGACUUGCCCAGGGUGUACACCACCUUCCACCCGAACGCAGCUGAGAUAGGCUCCAGCACCCCCCGCGACUCCGAAAGGGACAAGCGGUAGAAAAUGGAUGGAUGAGGUUUUGGUGAGCCAAAAAAAUGUCUAAGAUUUUACAACAAUAAUACAUUUCUAGUAUUUAAUGAAAAUAUUGUAGUUUUUAUUCAAUUAAGUCGUAAUUUGUCAAUACUAAAGUAGCAAAAUUACAAUAAUUUAAUUUGGAAAAAUAAUAUUUUAAAGUCUACAUGGAUAGAAUGGUAAUAAUUGGGAAUAAAGUCCUAUUUAAGUUGACUUUUAUCAAGAAUAAAGUGGUAAU
Long non-coding RNA from Entelurus aequoreus (snake pipefish), 1355 nucleotides. RefSeq lists it as uncharacterized. The transcript has 3 exons. The record is from RefSeq and is a predicted model, not a curated record. Lineage: Eukaryota; Metazoa; Chordata; Actinopteri; Syngnathiformes; Syngnathidae.